This 500-nucleotide ribosomal RNA is filed under the name uncultured bacterium. Its description in RNAcentral is "partial 16S ribosomal RNA". It matches the Rfam family "Bacterial small subunit ribosomal RNA", at positions 30 to 523 of the family's 1533-position model. The record is from RNAcentral.
AUUGAACGCUGGCGGCAUGCCUUACACAUGCAAGUCGAACGGCAGCACGGGAGCAAUCCUGGUGGCGAGUGGCGAACGGGUGAGUAAAGUAUCGGAACGUGCCCAGUCGUGGGGGAUAACGUAGCGAAAGUUACGCUAAUACCGCAUACGAUCUAUGGAUGAAAGCGGGGGAUCGCAAGACCUCGCGCGAUUGGAGCGGCCGAUAUCAGAUUAGGUAGUGGGUGGGGUAAAGGCUCACCAAGCCGACGAUCUGUAGCUGGUCUGAGAGGACGACCAGCCACACUGGGACUGAGACACGGCCCAGACUCCUACGGGAGGCAGCAGUGGGGAAUUUUGGACAAUGGGCGAAAGCCUGAUCCAGCCAUGCCACGUGCAGGAUGAAGGCCUUCGGGUUGUAAACUGCUUUUGUACGGAACGAAAAGGUUUGGCCUAAUAAGCUGAGCUCAUGACGGUACCGUAAGAAUAAGCACCGGCUAACUACGUGCCAGCAGCCGCCGUAA